RNAcentral lists this ribosomal RNA (253 nucleotides) under uncultured bacterium. RNAcentral's name for it is "partial 16S ribosomal RNA". It matches the Rfam family "Bacterial small subunit ribosomal RNA", at positions 524 to 776 of the family's 1533-position model. The record is from RNAcentral.
UACGGAGGGUGCAAGCGUUAUCCGGAUUCACUGGGUUUAAAGGGUGCGUAGGCGGGCAGGUAAGUCAGUGGUGAAAUCUCCAAGCUUAACUUGGAAACUGCCGUUGAUACUAUCUGUCUUGAAUAUUGUGGAGGUGAGCGGAAUAUGUCAUGUAGCGGUGAAAUGCUUAGAUAUGACAUAGAACACCAAUUGCGAAGGCAGCUCGCUACACAUAUAUUGACUCUGAGGCACGAAAGCGUGGGGAUCAAACAGG